This 632-nucleotide ribosomal RNA is filed under the name Enterobacter cloacae. RNAcentral's name for it is "bacterial SSU rRNA". It matches the Rfam family "Bacterial small subunit ribosomal RNA", at positions 798 to 1430 of the family's 1533-position model. The record is from RNAcentral. Lineage: Bacteria; Pseudomonadati; Pseudomonadota; Gammaproteobacteria; Enterobacterales; Enterobacteriaceae.
CGCCGUAAACGAUGUCGAUUUGGAGGUUGUGCCCUUGAGGCGUGGCUUCCGGAGCUAACGCGUUAAAUCGACCGCCUGGGGAGUACGGCCGCAAGGUUAAAACUCAAAUGAAUUGACGGGGGCCCGCACAAGCGGUGGAGCAUGUGGUUUAAUUCGAUGCAACGCGAAGAACCUUACCUGGUCUUGACAUCCACAGAACUUAGCAGAGAUGGAUUGGUGCCUUCGGGAACUGUGAGACAGGUGCUGCAUGGCUGUCGUCAGCUCGUGUUGUGAAAUGUUGGGUUAAGUCCCGCAACGAGCGCAACCCUUAUCCUUUGUUGCCAGCGGUUAGGCCGGGAACUCAAAGGAGACUGCCAGUGAUAAACUGGAGGAAGGUGGGGAUGACGUCAAGUCAUCAUGGCCCUUACGACCAGGGCUACACACGUGCUACAAUGGCGCAUACAAAGAGAAGCGACCUCGCGAGAGCAAGCGGACCUCAUAAAGUGCGUCGUAGUCCGGAUUGGAGUCUGCAACUCGACUCCAUGAAGUCGGAAUCGCUAGUAAUCGUAGAUCAGAAUGCUACGGUGAAUACGUUCCCGGGCCUUGUACACACCGCCCGUCACACCAUGGGAGUGGGUUGCAAAAGAAGUAGG